AUUGAACGCUGGCGGCAGGCCUAACACAUGCAAGUCGAGCGAGCGGCGGACGGGUGAGUAAUGUAUGGGGAUCUGCGCGAUAGAGGGGGAUAACUACUGGCAACGGUAGCUAAUAACGCAUACUACAGGAGGCACCCAUAUGGGAUGCGCUAGUAGGUGGGGUAACGGCUCACCUAGGCGACGAUCUCUAGCUGGUCUGAGAGGAUGCUCAGCCACACUGGGACUGAGAAACGGCCCAGACUCCUACGGGAGGCAGCAGUGGGGAAUAUUGCACCAUGGGCGCAAGCCUGAUGCAGCCAUGCCGCGUGUAUGAAGAAGGCCUUAGGGUUGUAAAGUACUUUCAGCGGGGAGGCGUUACCCGCAGAAGAAGCACCGGCUAACUCCGUGCCAGCAGCCGCGGUAAUUC
This 406-nucleotide ribosomal RNA is filed under the name uncultured bacterium. RNAcentral describes it as "partial 16S ribosomal RNA". It matches the Rfam family "Bacterial small subunit ribosomal RNA", at positions 30 to 526 of the family's 1533-position model. The record is from RNAcentral.